GACGAACGCUGGCGGCGUGCUUAACACAUGCAAGUCGAACGGAAAGGCCCUGCUUUUGUGGGGUGCUCGAGUGGCGAACGGGUGAGUAACACGUGAGUAACCUGCCCUUGACUUUGGGAUAACUUCAGGAAACUGGGGCUAAUACCGGAUAGGAGCUCCUGCUGCAUGGUGGGGGUUGGAAAGUUUCGGCGGUUGGGGAUGGACUCGCGGCUUAUCAGCUUGUUGGUGGGGUAGUGGCUUACCAAGGCUUUGACGGGUAGCCGGCCUGAGAGGGUGACCGGCCACAUUGGGACUGAGAUACGGCCCAGACUCCUACGGGAGGCAGCAGUGGGAAAUAUUGCACAAUGGGCGGAAGCCGGAUGCAGCAACGCCGCGUGCGGAAUGACGGCCUUCGGGUUGUAAACCGCUUUCGCCUGUGACGAAGCGUGAGUGACGGUAAUGGGUAAAGAAGCACCGGCUAACUACGUG
This 468-nucleotide ribosomal RNA is filed under the name uncultured bacterium. RNAcentral's name for it is "partial 16S ribosomal RNA". It matches the Rfam family "Bacterial small subunit ribosomal RNA", at positions 28 to 507 of the family's 1533-position model. The record is from RNAcentral.